UCACACCUGUUCCCAUGCCGAACACAGAAGUUAAGCUCCUUAGCGUCGAUGGUAGUCGAACUUACGUUCCGCUAGAGUAGAACGUUGCCAGGC
This 93-nucleotide ribosomal RNA is filed under the name Staphylococcus aureus. The record is from RNAcentral. Lineage: Bacteria; Bacillati; Bacillota; Bacilli; Caryophanales; Staphylococcaceae.